CCAUCAAAAUCAUAUUUUCUUUUUUGUUUUGCAGUCAAACUGGCAAGAUCCGGACGCUGGUGUUUCCAGUGAUGUACCUUAAUGAGAGCGUCGUUAUUGACGAGGAAUCUGCCAAGAAGCUGUAUGCGGUUGUUACCGAGGCUAAUGUGAUCGUCAACAUCCCCUUCAUAGUGAUCAGUGUAGGCAUCUUACUGGGCGUCAUCUUCAUCGUGUUCAUGUGCCGACAGCAUAUGCCACCGAGCACCGAGGCUGAGCGUCAGCCCCUGCUUUCAUCGUAAACUCCCCAGACGUCAUAAUGAACCAACAUGUGUUUAGACAUUGAGCUUGAUUUCUUUUUUUCACACGGCCAGAGUCGGUUCAAGGAGCAUCGGUGCAUGUGGCAGACGACUCAAAGUACAAAGUUUGUCUCAGGUCACCUGGCCUCGGAUCCGGAUCUUUCAAACGUGUUUUUAAUGCAUUUAAUGCUUCAGAUGAUUGAUUGAGUAUCGCACAACCAAAUAGCGCAGGAGUGUCCAAAUCAGAAAAAAUGUUUCAUUUCCUAAACUGAAUUAUAUAUCAGAAAACACUAAUAGAGACCGCAGAUGUGAUGCAACACGUUACACAUCAGUGCUCGAGAUAUUGAUGUCACCUGUACACAUCACAACGAUAUUAAUACACUUAUGCAAUUGCAAUGAGCUCAUCUGACAAAUAAACUGACAGCGGUGCCAACGCAUGCUGAUUUCAGAACUAAUGUAAGUUUUAGUCUGCUUCACGUGAAUCUGAAAAGUCAAUAAUGUGCCACACGCAUUUUAAAAUCACUAAAUCCUUUUUUAAAAUGACCAAAUAACUUGUUUUGGUGCCAUGAUGUAUUUGCGCUUGUUUUCUCCUCAGCCAUAUAAGUGAUUUUCUUAGAUGCAAACCAAGAUUUUGAUGGUACAUUGGCUCAAAAAUGUUUUUAGAGUCAGCUAAUACCACUUUUACAAUAUUUCUGAAAGAAAUGGACCAUAAUCACUAAUUUAAACUCUGUUUACAACUCUACAAUUUCUUGAAUAACCAGACACAACCUUGUUUUCAGUGUUCAGUAAAUGCAUCAUCAAGUGUUUCAUCAGUAUUACCACAGCAUUAAGAAGAUUUGUUUUCUUGAACAUUUCAGUUUCCUGAAUAUAUUUAAUGUUCAUUUUCAUGCACUGAUCGGUUUAGUUUUUGUUUAUGUUUAAUAAACCUCAUGUCCUGCAUGGUUCAUUUCAUGUUUUAUUCUUGCAGGUGUUUGGUGGCAGUUCAUGGCUGGUUUUGGUGUUUUUUAGGUCUGAAAAGGGAAGAUUUGAGGGUUGCUAAUUUUGUUUCAGUGAAGUUCAGAAUAUCACUACAGUGCGUGAUGUCUGUGGGUUUGAUCUGAAACUGGUGUGAUUUCAGUUUCACUUCAGCUUGACAGUAAAUGUACUUUUCCCAGGAUGGAAAUCGUAAUUAAAUCUCCUGAUUACGAUGAUUGUGAAAUGAUAACGUGAACUGUGUUUAUGAAUUAAGACCCAGUGUUGAUGUUAGCUGACUGUUUUAGGUUUAAAAAAAGGAAUGUUCAUGAUUGAUUCCAUUUUUUAAAUUCAUUUUUUAUGCAUUUAUUUCAUCAU
Long non-coding RNA from Sinocyclocheilus grahami, 1604 nucleotides. RefSeq lists it as uncharacterized. The record is from RefSeq and is a predicted model, not a curated record. Lineage: Eukaryota; Metazoa; Chordata; Actinopteri; Cypriniformes; Cyprinidae. The transcript has 3 exons.